Molecule: ribosomal RNA, 1497 nt
Filed under: uncultured Bordetella sp.
Lineage: Bacteria; Pseudomonadati; Pseudomonadota; Betaproteobacteria; Burkholderiales; Alcaligenaceae
Description: partial 16S-23S ribosomal RNA intergenic spacer
Rfam family: Bacterial small subunit ribosomal RNA
Source: RNAcentral
AACAGAGGGUUUGAUUAUAGUAGUAAUCUAUGAACGAACGCUGGCAGGAUGCUUUACACAUGCAAGUCUGUCGAACGGCAGCACGGACUUCGGUCUGGUGGCGAGUGGCGAACGGGUGAAAUAAUGUAUCGGAACGUGCCUAGUAGCGGGGGAUAACUACGCGAAAGCGUAGCUAAUACCACAUACGCCCUUCGGGAAAGCAGGGGACCUUCGGGCCUCGCACUAUUAGAGCGGCCGAUAUCGGAUUAGCUAGUUGGUGGGGUAACGGCUCACCAGGCGACGAUCCGUAGCUGGUUUGAGAGGACGACCGACACACUGGGACUGAGACACAGCGGGCUCUACGGGAGGCAGCAGUGGGGAAUUUUGGACAAUGGAAACCCUGAUCCAGCCAUCCCGCGUGUGCGAUGAAGGCCCUUCGGGUUGUAAGCACUUUUGGCAGGAAAGAAACGGCACGGGAUAAUACCCCGUGCAACUGACGGUACCUGCAGGGUAAGCACCGGCUAACUACGUGCCAGCAGCCGCGGUAAUACGUAGGGUACGAAAGAAGCGUUAAUCGGAAUUACUGGGCGUAAAGCGUGCGCAGGCGGUUCGGAAGGAAGAUGAAAUCCCAGGCUUAACUUCGGAACUGCAUUUUAACUACCGAGCUAGAGUGUCAGAGGAGGUGGGAGUCCGCGUGUAGCAGUGAAAUGCGUAUAGAUAUGCGGAGGAACACCGAUGGUAGGCAGCCUCCUGGGAUAACACUGACGGCUCAUGCACGAAAGCGUGGGGAGCAAACAGGAUUAGAUACCCUGGUAGUCCACGCCCUAAACGAUAAUGACUGUUGGGGCCUUCGGGCCUUGGUAGCGCAACUAACGCGUGAAGUUGACCGCCUGGGGAGAUACGGUCGCAAGAUUAAAACUCAAAGGAAUGACGGGGACCCACAAGCGGUGGAUGAUGUGGAUUAAUUCGAUGCAACGCGAAAAACCUUACCUACCCUUGACAUGUCUGGAAUCCCGAAGAGAUUUGGGAGUGCUCGCAAGAGAACCGGAACACAGGUGCUGCAUGGCUGUCGUCAGCUCGUGUCGUGAGAUGUUGGGUUAAGUCCGCAACUUGAGCGCAACCCUUGUCAUUAGUUGCUACGAAGGGCACUCUAAUGAGACUGCCGGUGACAAACCGGAGGAAGGUGGGGAUGACGUCAGGUCCUCAUGGCCCUUGCCGUCCAGGGCUUCACACGUCAUACAAUGGUCAGGACAGAGGGUCACUCUCAACCCGCGAGGGAAGCCAAUCCCAGAAACCCGAUCGUAGUCCGGAUCGCAGUCUGCAACUCGACUGCGUGAAGUCGGAGAUCGCUAGUAAUCGCGGAUCAGCAUGUCGCGGUGAAUGCGUUCCCGGGUCUUGUACACACCGCCCGUCACACCAUGGGAGUGGGUUUUACCAGAAGUGAAGUUAGCCUAACCGUAAGGAGGGCGAUUACCACGGUAGGAUUCAUGACUGGGGUGAAAGUCGUAACUGAAUUAG